GGGGCUGUAGCUCAGCUGGAAGAGCGCGUGCAUGGCAUGCAUGAGGCCAGGGGUUCGAGCCCCCUCAGCUCCACCA
Molecule: transfer RNA, 76 nt
Filed under: Candidatus Omnitrophota bacterium
Lineage: Bacteria; Pseudomonadati; Candidatus Omnitrophota
Description: Candidatus Omnitrophica bacterium (sediment metagenome) tRNA-Ala
Rfam family: tRNA
About the family: Transfer RNA (tRNA) molecules are approximately 80 nucleotides in length. Their secondary structure includes four short double-helical elements and three loops (D, anti-codon, and T loops). Further hydrogen bonds mediate the characteristic L-shaped molecular structure. tRNAs have two regions of fundamental functional importance: the anti-codon, which is responsible for specific mRNA codon recognition, and the 3' end, to which the tRNAs corresponding amino acid is attached (by aminoacyl-tRNA synthetases). tRNAs cope with the degeneracy of the genetic code in two manners: having more than one tRNA (with a specific anti-codon) for a particular amino acid; and 'wobble' base-pairing, i.e. permitting non-standard base-pairing at the 3rd anti-codon position.
Source: RNAcentral